Molecule: ribosomal RNA, 122 nt
Filed under: Phoenix dactylifera (date palm)
Lineage: Eukaryota; Viridiplantae; Streptophyta; Magnoliopsida; Arecales; Arecaceae
Source: RNAcentral
UGGUGCGAUCAUACCAGCACUAAUGCACCGGAUUCCAUCGGAACUCCGCAUUUAAGCGUGCUUGGGCGAGAGUAGUACUAGGAUGGAUGACCCCCCGGGAAGUCCUCGUGUUGUACCCCUUU